UGUAAAAUUUUAAAGGUCGAACAGACCUAAUAUUGUAGCUUCUACACCAAAAAUUUAUUUUAAUCCAACAUCGAGGUCGCAAUCUCUUUUUUUAAUACGAACUCUAAAAAAAAAUUACGCUGUUAUCCCUAAGGUAAUUUUAUCUUAUAAUCAAAAAUAUUGGRUCAUUCACUCAUAAAUUUAUGUUUUAAAAUAAAAAAAGUUAUUCUAAUUUUUCAAUCACCCCAAUUAAAUUAUUUAAUAUAAUUAAUAAAUAAAUACUAAAAUAUUAUUUUUAUUAAAUAAUUAAACUCUAUAGGGUCUUCUCGUCUUUUAACUUUAUUUAAGCUUUUUAACUUAAAAAUAAAAUUCUAAUAAAAUUUAAUAGAGACAGUCAUUUUCUUAUCCAACCUUUCAUUCCAGUUUUCAAUUAAAAAACUAAUGAUUAUGCUACCUUAGCACGGUCAAAAUACCACGGCCAUUUAAAAAUUUCAGUGGGCAGGUUAAACCUUAAAUUAUGCACAAAAGGAC
This 510-nucleotide ribosomal RNA is filed under the name Chrysolina bankii. Its description in RNAcentral is "16S ribosomal RNA". The record is from RNAcentral. Lineage: Eukaryota; Metazoa; Arthropoda; Insecta; Coleoptera; Chrysomelidae.